CCAGUCUUUCUCUUGUGGUCAGAUAGGGCUACCUUAGUCCAGGGCUCUCUCCGGGUUUGGGGAUUGGAAUGCGAGGUCACAUUCCAGGUGUGAUGGGACCAGCUCUGAGGUAAGGGGACGAUCACCUCCAGUUCUGAACAGACUAAGACCUGGAGUGUUUCUCAUGCCUGCUAUUUUGCUGAAAGGGUCCCCCCUCACCCUGUUUCACAUCCUCCCCACCCACCUUCCCUACAGCUGAGCACCUUAAGGGCAGCUGGUCCAUGAACUUGCUAAAGACCCCAGAGAUGGUCUGACCCAAAGCUCUGCCCAGACAGGGUCAACAGGGAUUUGGUGGGCCAGCCAGUCCUUCUCUGUGGUCUGAGGAGAGAGCUAAACCAUUGGAAGCAGGAGAUGAGGCAGGAGGACAGAAAGAAGGAGGUAAGUAGAUACUUGAGUCAGUACAGGCCACGAGAAAGCAGAGGCUGAGGGAAGGAAAUGAUCCACUACACCAGUCAGGUCGUGGGAGCAAGUGGCAGGAGCAAACUGACCAAUUUCAACAGAAAAAUAAUUUCUUACAAGGGACUGUAGGUGACUUGCAGAAAAUGGUUUCCAACUACAGGGUGACUUCAUGAUAUAUAUAUAUUUGAUUCUAAAGAAUUACAGCACAUGGCAGGACAAGAUGCAUGUGUUUCAGAAAAUUUAAAACUUCCCUUCCCCCGUGCCUCCCAAGAAGAUACAUCCAGGUCGCUGGAGGGUUUUUGGCUUGCGGAGAACAGUCUUGUUCAGGGAGAUGAUGGCCUUCCCUAGAUCACAGCCUCACAUCAUAGGUAAGGAAGAGAAGCCCAGAGCUAACUGCGCCACAAAGAAGAGGGAGGUAAGAAAGGUGGGUGUAGGGCCUGGGGUCACUUGAUGGGACCAAGAACUCCUGGGUGCUGUUAGAUGUAAAGCUCUACUCUCUCUGUAGAUCGAAAUCUUUGCUACGAUGUCCAUUUCUCACUAAAGCCUGUGGUGAAGGUUGACUCCGGGAUAAUGCAGUGCUGAGACUUGCUCCUUGAGAAAGGAUGUGAGUGGAGGUUGUGGGCCGUUACACCUGCACUGUGUUUUGAGACCCUGCCCAGGGUUUUCAAUGAAAAUAAAAAGCCAAUCAUGCGCCCCACCCCCAUUGCCGCCAAAGUACCAGUGCAGGAUGAACCAGCCAGAGCAGAGACGGCUUUGGAAUAUUAGAUCAACACCAGCAGAAAUCUGCAGUUGUGAAGUCAGCAUUCUGGCACGAUCAAGAAUGGUUUUUCAAAAGAAUAUGCUCCCCACUAGUGGAAAGAUGACCCCCAAGAGCUCCAUCCUGAUAUCUUCAGCCCUACUGGAAAGAGCUUACUUUCCCAUUCAUUCUGAGGAAAUGACCAGAACUGAGUCUCAUGGGAGAUUGAUUGGAUUAUUUCCCCAGCCCUGGAGUUGGGAGGGUAGGGUCAGCCACACAGGAACUCCUUGAACUGACAGUGUAGGCAGGAAAGUCUCCCAAAGGAAAUGAAGGUGCUGAUACCAAAAACAGGAACACCAAAACAGCAGUCAGUGAAAAAUUGAGAUAUACACCCUAUGAAGUGAGCUCAGGAGACUGAUGUAAAAAAACAAAACAACACCAAACUUCCUUGUGUGUCCCCAGGCUGGAAAUUGACGUUUAAUCCAGCCAUGAAGGACACAUGAUUUAUUAGGAAACUACAGUGUCUCCAGGAAGGGGCGAGGUGGACUGGGGCAGAUCCCCUUGGCUGAUUUGGGCCCCCACUCCCUCCCCUUUUAGCCUUAGCUUCAGAGACAGGAUUUCCUGGAGCAGGAGCUGCCGCUGUGGAGCCAGCUCCCAGACAAGUCGAAAUCUCUGGUCAAGGCCGCACGCUACCAGACAGGAGAGAUGUUCGAAGACAGCGCGGCCCCGGGGACAAGAAAAGAGGGUGCCGACUGCCUCUGAAGUGUUACAGGGUGGUGGGAGACAGGGAGAUAAGUGGCAAAAAUUAGAGGCUUUAGGCUCUGGCAGUAGGACUCAAAUUCCAGGCCACAGAUCAAUGCCUCCAUCUCUGGGCAGGAAUGACAAUUGCCACUUACAGGGAGAUGCAGUGAAGGGGGGAGUUGCCAGGAUUCACAGGGCUUACAGACAGCAAGGAGACAGGUGCUCCCCACACGUGUUAAGAAUGAAGAGACCCAUGCUAUGAGCCAAGGGACAAGAUGGGACAAGAUGCACUUGAUGGCAGCCUGGAGAAUCUGGCCCUGCUAGGACAGCUGCAACUGAGGAGACCUUAUGGAAAAAGGUAAUCACGGCAUCUCCAGUACGGUGUGGGGUGGCGGAAAGAGCCAAGUGCCAGCCAUAACUCCUCCAGGAUCCUGUAAACGGGGCGUGCGUGGACGAGACAGAGCCCAUGAUGCACUCAGCCCAGGGCCGAGCACAUAACUAGCGCCCAGCCGAGGUGUAUUGAUACACACCCUGCAACAAAACCACACAAAACAAACAGCUGAUGGCAUAGUUUCUGGUGUUGCUGAGAUACUCAUUCCCACGUGGCUUGGAGCCAAGACAUCACUGACCUCAGAAGCUUGGAUUCCUAGACUGGUUUAGGAACUUAGACUGUCUCACAGCUCUAACACGGAGGGGCCUCCCAAGCUGUCAAUCGACCCCAAGUAGGGGUAGAC
This is a long non-coding RNA of Ailuropoda melanoleuca (giant panda), 2649 nucleotides long. RefSeq lists it as uncharacterized. The transcript is spliced from 6 exons. NCBI's taxonomy places the organism in Eukaryota, Metazoa, Chordata, Mammalia, Carnivora, Ursidae. The record is from RefSeq and is a predicted model, not a curated record.